RNAcentral lists this ribosomal RNA (362 nucleotides) under uncultured Babesia. RNAcentral describes it as "SSU rRNA". It matches the Rfam family "Eukaryotic small subunit ribosomal RNA", at positions 514 to 900 of the family's 1831-position model. Lineage: Eukaryota; Apicomplexa; Aconoidasida; Piroplasmida; Babesiidae. The record is from RNAcentral.
AUGAUGGGAAUCUAAACCCUUCCCAGAGUAUCAAUUGGAGGGCAAGUCUGGUGCCAGCAGCCGCGGUAAUUCCAGCUCCAAUAGCGUAUAUUAAAGUUGUUGCAGUUAAGAAGCUCGUAGUUGAAUUUCUGCCUUGUCAUUAAUCUCGCUUCCGAGCGUUUUUUUAUUGGCUUGGCAUCAUCUGGAUUUGGUGCCUUCGGGUACUGUUUCCAGGGUUUACUUUGAGAAAACUAGAGUGUUUCAAACAGGCAUUUGCCUUGAAUACUACAGCAUGGAAUAAUGAAGUAGGACUUUGGUUCUAUUUUGUUGGUUAUUGAACCAGAGUAAUGGUUAAUAGGAGCAGUUGGGGGCAUUCGUAUUUA